GGUUGACGGGAGCUUGCUCCCUGAUUCAGCGGCGGACGGGUGAGUAAUGCCUAGGAAUCUGCCUAUUAGUGGGGGACAACGUUUCGAAAGGAACGCUAAUACCGCAUACGUCCUACGGGAGAAAGCAGGGGACCUUCGGGCCUUGCGCUAAUAGAUGAGCCUAGGUCGGAUUAGCUAGUUGGUGAGGUAAUGGCUCACCAAGGCGACGAUCCGUAACUGGUCUGAGAGGAUGAUCAGUCACACUGGAACUGAGACACGGUCCAGACUCCUACGGGAGGCAGCAGUGGGGAAUAUUGGACAAUGGGCGAAAGCCUGAUCCAGCCAUGCCGCGUGUGUGAAGAAGGUCUUCGGAUUGUAAAGCACUUUAAGUUGGGAGGAAGGGUUGUAGAUUAAUACUCUGCAGUUUUGACGUUACCGACAGAAUAAGCACCGGCUAACUCUGUGCCAGCAGCCGCGGUAAUACAGAGGGUGCAAGCGUUAAUCGGAAUUACUGGGCGUAAAGCGCGCGUAGG
Molecule: ribosomal RNA, 512 nt
Filed under: Pseudomonas sp.
Lineage: Bacteria; Pseudomonadati; Pseudomonadota; Gammaproteobacteria; Pseudomonadales; Pseudomonadaceae
Description: bacterial SSU rRNA
Rfam family: Bacterial small subunit ribosomal RNA
Source: RNAcentral